CAAAUACUCCCUCCAUCCAGAAAUACUUGUCAUCAAAAUGGAUAAAAGGAAAUGUAUCUAGACGUAUUUUAGUUUUAGAUACAUCUAUUUUUAUCCAUUUUGAUGACAAGUAUUUUCGGACGGAGGGAGUAGAAA
This is a non-coding RNA of Triticum aestivum (bread wheat), 135 nucleotides long. NCBI's taxonomy places the organism in Eukaryota, Viridiplantae, Streptophyta, Magnoliopsida, Poales, Poaceae. The record is from Rfam.